GACGAACGCUGGCGGCGUGCUUAACACAUGCAAGUCGAACGGAAAGGCCCUGCUUUCGUGGGGUGCUCGAGUGGCGAACGGGUGAGUAACACGUGAGUAACCUGCCCUUGACUUUGGGAUAACUUCAGGAAACUGGGGCUAAUACCGGAUAGGAGCUCCUGCUGCAUGGUGGGGGUUGGAAAGUUUCGGCGGGUGGGGAUGGACUCGCGGCUUAUCAGCUUGUUGGUGGGGUAGUGGCUUACCAAGGCUUUGACGGGUAGCCGGCCUGAGAGGGUGACCGGCCACAUUGGGACUGAGAUACGGCCCAGACUCCUACGGGAGGCAGCAGUGGGGAAUAUUGCACAAUGGGCGGAAGCCUGAUGCAGCAACGCCGCGUGCGGGAUGACGGCCUUCGGGUUGUAAACCGCUUUCGCCUGUGACGAAGCGUGAGUGACGGUAAUGGGUAAAGAAGCACCGGCUAACUACGUG
RNAcentral lists this ribosomal RNA (468 nucleotides) under uncultured bacterium. RNAcentral describes it as "partial 16S ribosomal RNA". It matches the Rfam family "Bacterial small subunit ribosomal RNA", at positions 28 to 507 of the family's 1533-position model. The record is from RNAcentral.